Molecule: ribosomal RNA, 852 nt
Filed under: uncultured bacterium
Lineage: Bacteria
Description: bacterial SSU rRNA
Rfam family: Bacterial small subunit ribosomal RNA
Source: RNAcentral
CCCCGGCUAACUACGUGCCAGCAGCCGCGGUAAUACGUAGGGGGCAAGCGUUAUCCGGAUUUACUGGGUGUAAAGGGGGCGCAGACGGCCAUGGCAAGCCCGGUGUGAAAGGCAGGGGCAUAACCCCUGGACUGCACUGGGAACUGUCAGGCUGGAGUGCCGGAGGGGUACGCGGAAUUCCUGGUGUAGCGGUGGGGGGGGGGGUUCUCUGGGGGAACCCCGGGGGGGAAGGCGGGUUACGGGACGGCAAUUGACGUUGAGGCCCGAAAGCGUGGGGAGCGAACAGGAUUUAGAUACCCUGUUAGUCCACGCCUUAAACGAUGUAUACCAGGUGUCGGAUAUCAAGGAUAUCCGGUGCCGAAGCAAACGCAUUAAGUAUACCACCUGGGGAGUACGUUCGCAAGAAUGAAACUCAAAGGAAUUGACGGGGACCCGCACAAGCGGUGGAGCAUGUGGUAUAAUUAGAAGCAACGCGAAGAACCUUACCAGGCCUUGACAUCCUGAUGGCGCGGGCGUAACGGUCCGUUCCCUCCGGGGCAUCAGAGACAGGUGGUGCAUGGUUGUCGUCAGCUCGUGUCGUGAGAUGUUGGGUUAAGUCCCGCAACGAGCGCAACCCUUAUUCCCAGUAGCCAGCAUUUCGGAUGGGCACUCUGGGGAGACUGCCGGGGAAGACCCGGAGGAAGGCGGGGAUGACGUCAAAUCAUCAUGCCCCUUAUGGCCUGGGCUACACACGUGCUACAAUGGCGCAUACAAAGGGAGGCAAAGGAGCGAUCUGAAGCAAAUCCCAGAAAAGGCGCCCCAGUUCGGAUUGCAGCCUGCAACUCGGCUGCAUGAAGCUGGAAUCGCUAGUAA